Molecule: long non-coding RNA, 1320 nt
Organism: Apodemus sylvaticus (European woodmouse)
Lineage: Eukaryota; Metazoa; Chordata; Mammalia; Rodentia; Muridae
Exons: 3
Source: RefSeq, a predicted model, not a curated record
CUCAAAUAAACCUAAGAAGAAGACAGCAGCCACACAGGCAAACCUCAGCUGGUGGGGCAACUGACACGGAGCAGGGCGGAGCACAGCCUCCAGGCCAGGUUCUGGGGACUGACCUCGGCUUGUCGGUCUUGAGCAGCAAGUAUGUUUACCACUGAGAUACCUCACGGGAUCAUAUUUGAGAUAAAAUAUCACACCCCGUUGCUGUUGGAAUGGAUGAGAAAUUUGCCACAGGCAAGCCUGGAACAGACACCAAACAUACAGGACUACAAAUGGAGUCAGGGACAAGACUGAGCAAACACAUCAGAGGAAGGAGGAUUGCUUCCAGCUGCUGAGACCAGGCAGGCCUCCGGGACACUCACUGUCUUCUGCCACUCACCCCCAUCGAGGAGGAGUGACCUCCGGAGACUUCAAAGGACUCUGGAACUAAGCCGAUAACAGAGCAACUGGAGAGCCCCUCCCUGGCUAUGCUCCUUGGAGCACUUUAGCAUUUACUGUAUGUAGGAAUUAGGAUCUCUGUCGUGCCCCCUUCCUGAGGUGUGUGUGUGUGUGUGUGUGCACUCGCGGAGGUACACAAGUACUAUUCUGCAUAUAUGGAGAUCGCAGGACAACACGGUAUCGAAAUUGGCUUUCCGGCGUGUCUCUCUCAUUUGUUCUUCUCUGCUAGGUACCCAAGGCUAGCCAGCCUGCAAAAGCCGGCCGUUCUUCCCUCUUUGCCUCUGUCCAAGCAGGUGGUGCACAGAUUACAGCAACUGGUGCUACUGUGUCCAGCCUUUACCUAGGUUCAGGGCAUCUUAAAAUCAGGCUGUAAAGCCCGGCCCUGUAUUAUUUAUGGUUGAAGACAGUUCCGUUGUGUCUAUGCCUCCCACUCUCACUGUCUGGUUGAUGGCCUCUGCAGCAGCAAGCAUGGGUGCUCUGGUGUCUCUGUGCCGUGCUCAGCUCCCCUGGGUGCUCUCCCAGCAGCCAGGGGUGGCAGAGUUGGAUCGUAGGUGGUUCUGCUUUCAGCGUUAUAAGGAAACCACACUGAUUUCCAGAGUGGUAAACUCUGGUUGCAGUUUUUACCAUUUCACACUCUUACCAGCAGUGUCUAAGGGUUACUCUUUUCCUACAUUCAGACAGAAAUGUGUUAUUAUUUUCUUGAUUAAAGCAUUUGAAAUCUAGGGGAGGGGUGCUGGAGAGAUGGCUCAGAUGGCUCAGAAGUUAAGAGCGCUGACUGCUCUUUCAGAGGUCUCAAGUUCAAUUCCCAGCAACCACAUGGUGGCCCACAACCAUCUGUAAAGGGAUCUGAUUCCCUUUUCUGACUUGCAGGUAUAUAUGCAGAUA